CCUACGGGAGGCAGCAGUGGGGAAUAUUGCGCAAUGGGCGAAAGCCUGACGCAGCAACGCCGCGUGAGUGAAGAAGGCCUUCGGGUUGUAAAGCUCUGUCGGAUGGGAAGAACAGGGUGGGUGACCCUCACCCCUGACGGUACCAUCAAAGGAAGCACUGGCUAACUCCGUGCCAGCAGCCGCGGUAAU
RNAcentral lists this ribosomal RNA (189 nucleotides) under uncultured Clostridium sp. Its description in RNAcentral is "partial 16S ribosomal RNA". It matches the Rfam family "Bacterial small subunit ribosomal RNA", at positions 338 to 524 of the family's 1533-position model. Lineage: Bacteria; Bacillati; Bacillota; Clostridia; Eubacteriales; Clostridiaceae. The record is from RNAcentral.